This 549-nucleotide ribosomal RNA is filed under the name uncultured bacterium. RNAcentral's name for it is "bacterial SSU rRNA". It matches the Rfam family "Bacterial small subunit ribosomal RNA", at positions 356 to 896 of the family's 1533-position model. The record is from RNAcentral.
GGGGAAUCUUCCGCAAUGGACGAAAGUCUGACGGAGCAACGCCGCGUGAGUGAUGACGGCCUUCGGGUUGUAAAGCUCUGUUAAUCGGGACGAAAGGCCUUCUUGCGAAUAGUUAGAAGGAUUGACGGUACCGGAAUAGAAAGCCACGGCUAACUACGUGCCAGCAGCCGCGGUAAUACGUAGGUGGCAAGCGUUGUCCGGAAUUAUUGGGCGUAAAGCGCGCGCAGGCGGAUCAGUCAGUCUGUCUUAAAAGUUCGGGGCUUAACCCCGUGAUGGGAUGGAAACUGCUGAUCUAGAGUAUCGGAGAGGAAAGUGGAAUUCCUAGUGUAGUGGUGAAAUGCGUAGAUAUUAGGAAGAACACCAGUGGCGAAGGCGACUUUCUGGACGAAAACUGACGCUGAGGCGCGAAAGCCAGGGGAGCGAACGGGAUUAGAUACCCCGGUAGUCCUGGCCGUAAACGAUGGGUACUAGGUGUAGGAGGUAUCGACCCCUUCUGUGCCGGAGUUAACGCAAUAAGUACCCCGCCUGGGGAGUACGACCGCAAGGUUG